RNAcentral lists this transfer RNA (88 nucleotides) under Acidobacterium capsulatum ATCC 51196. RNAcentral's name for it is "tRNA-Leu (TAA) (tRNA-Leu-TAA-1-1)". The record is from RNAcentral. Lineage: Bacteria; Pseudomonadati; Acidobacteriota; Terriglobia; Terriglobales; Acidobacteriaceae.
UGCGUGGCCGAUCUCCCGCCAAGCCAUACGCAGCGGACUUAAAAUCCGCAGGCCGCAAGGCCGUGGGGUUCAAGUCCCCUCCGGGCAU